This 255-nucleotide ribosomal RNA is filed under the name uncultured bacterium. RNAcentral's name for it is "partial small subunit ribosomal RNA". It matches the Rfam family "Bacterial small subunit ribosomal RNA", at positions 26 to 286 of the family's 1533-position model. The record is from RNAcentral.
AGGACGAACGCUGGCGGCGUGCUUAACACAUGCAAGUCGAGCGGAAAGGCCUUUCGGGGUACUCGAGCGGCGAACGGGUGAGUAACACGUGAGUAACCUGCCCCCUACUUUGGGAUAACCCUCGGAAACGGGGGCUAAUACCGGAUAUGACUUGGCCCGGCAUCGGGUUUGGUGGAAAGUUUUUCGGUGGGGGAUGGGCUCGCGGCCUAUCAGCUUGUUGGUGGGGUAAUGGCCUACCAAGGCGACGACGGGUAG